GACGAACGCUGGCGGCGUGCUUAACACAUGCAAGUCGAACGGAGUGGCGAACGGGUGAGUAACACGUGGGUGAUCUGCCUUGCACUUCGGGAUAAGCUUGGGAAACUGGGUCUAAUACCGGAUAGUGCAAGAUGAGCUCGAGGCCUAUCAGCUUUAUGGUGGGGUAAUGGCCUACCAAGGCGUCGACGGGUAGCCGGCCUGAGAGGGUGGACGGCAACAGUGUGACUGAGAUACGGCCCAUACUCCUGCGGUAGGCAGCAGUGGGGAAUAUUGCGCAAUGGGCGGAAGUCUCAUGCAGCGACGCCGCGUGGGGGAUGAAGGCCUUCGGGUUGUAGCUUCCUUUCGACAGGAACGCGGUAACGGGAUAUGAAGCACCGGCUAUGUACGUGCCAGCCGCAGCGGUAAUUC
RNAcentral lists this ribosomal RNA (408 nucleotides) under uncultured bacterium. RNAcentral describes it as "partial 16S ribosomal RNA". It matches the Rfam family "Bacterial small subunit ribosomal RNA", at positions 28 to 526 of the family's 1533-position model. The record is from RNAcentral.